This 119-nucleotide small nuclear RNA is filed under the name Pelecanus crispus (Dalmatian pelican). Its description in RNAcentral is "U5 spliceosomal RNA". It matches the Rfam family "U5 spliceosomal RNA". From Rfam's summary of the family: U5 RNA is a component of both types of known spliceosome. The record is from Rfam by way of RNAcentral. Lineage: Eukaryota; Metazoa; Chordata; Aves; Pelecaniformes; Pelecanidae.
AAACCCUGGUUUCUCUUCAGAUCUUAUAAAUCUUUCGCCUUUUGCUAAAGAUUUCUGUGGAGAGGAACAGGCAAGAGUGUCGAGGAAUUUUUUUGUAUUUUCUUUUUUAUUUUUGGGGU